This 68-nucleotide transfer RNA is filed under the name Marmota monax (woodchuck). It matches the Rfam family "tRNA". From Rfam's summary of the family: Transfer RNA (tRNA) molecules are approximately 80 nucleotides in length. Their secondary structure includes four short double-helical elements and three loops (D, anti-codon, and T loops). Lineage: Eukaryota; Metazoa; Chordata; Mammalia; Rodentia; Sciuridae. The record is from Rfam by way of RNAcentral.
GGUUUUUAGCUCAGUGGUAGAGCCUUUGCCUCAUAUGCAUGAGGCACUGGGUUUGAUCCUCAGCACCA